RNAcentral lists this non-coding RNA (148 nucleotides) under Chlorocebus sabaeus (green monkey). The record is from Rfam by way of RNAcentral. Lineage: Eukaryota; Metazoa; Chordata; Mammalia; Primates; Cercopithecidae.
GCCAGGUGUGGUGGUGCACACCUGUAGUCCCAGCUACUCGGGAGGCUGAGGCAGGAGGGUUGCUUGAGCUCAGGAGUUUGAAGUUGCAGUCAUCUGUGACUGCACCACUACAGUCCAGCCUGAGCAAGAGAGUGAAACCCUGUCUCAA